RNAcentral lists this ribosomal RNA (235 nucleotides) under uncultured bacterium. Its description in RNAcentral is "partial 16S ribosomal RNA". It matches the Rfam family "Bacterial small subunit ribosomal RNA", at positions 99 to 334 of the family's 1533-position model. The record is from RNAcentral.
CGCACGGGUGAGUAACACGUAUCCAACCUGCCGUCUACUCUUGGACAGCCUUCUGAAAGGAAGAUUAAUACAAGAUGGCAUCAUGAGUCCGCAUGUUCACAUGAUUAAAGGUAUUCCGGUAGACGAUGGGGAUGCGUUCCAUUAGAUAGUAGGCGGGGUAACGGCCCACCUAGUCUUCGAUGGAUAGGGGUUCUGGGAGGAAGGUCCCCCACAUUGGAACUGAGACACGGUCCAA